AACGAACGCUGGCGGCAUGCCUAACACAUGCAAGUCGAACGAGACCUUCGGGUCUAGUGGCGCACGGGUGCGUAACGCGUGGGAACCUGCCCUUAGGUUCGGAAUAACUCCCCGAAAGGGGUGCUAAUACCGGAUAAUGUCUUCGGACCAAAGAUUUAUCGCCUUUGGAUGGGCCCGCGUUGGAUUAGCUAGUUGGUAGGGUAAAAGCCUACCAAGGCGACGAUCCAUAGCUGGUCUGAGAGGAUGAUCAGCCACACUGGGACUGAGACACGGCCCAGACUACUACGGGAGGCAGCAGUGGGGAAUAUUGGAAAAUGGGCGAAAGCCUGAUCCAGCAAUGGCGCGUGAGUGAUGAAGGCCUUAGGGUUGUAAAGCUCUUUUACCCGGGAUGAUAAUGACAGUACCGGGAGAAUAAGCUCCGGCUAACUCCGUG
This 433-nucleotide ribosomal RNA is filed under the name uncultured bacterium. RNAcentral describes it as "partial 16S ribosomal RNA". It matches the Rfam family "Bacterial small subunit ribosomal RNA", at positions 29 to 507 of the family's 1533-position model. The record is from RNAcentral.